GACGGAGGGUGCUAGCGUUGUUCGGAAUCACUGGGCGUAAAGGGCUCGUAGGCGGCCAACUAAGUCAGACGUGAAAUCCCUCGGCUUAACCGGGGAACUGCGUCUGAUACUGGAUGGCUUGAGAUUGGGAGAGGGAUGCGGAAUUCCAGGUGUAGCGGUGAAAUGCGUAGAUAUCUGGAGGAACACCGGUGGCGAAGGCGGCAUCCUGGACCAACACUGACACUGAGGAGCGAAAGCCAGGGGAGCAAACGGG
RNAcentral lists this ribosomal RNA (253 nucleotides) under uncultured bacterium. RNAcentral's name for it is "partial 16S ribosomal RNA". It matches the Rfam family "Bacterial small subunit ribosomal RNA", at positions 524 to 776 of the family's 1533-position model. The record is from RNAcentral.